AAAAAGGCUCUUUUAAGAGCCACCCACUUUCUCUAUUGAAAGAGCU
Molecule: non-coding RNA, 46 nt
Organism: Ailuropoda melanoleuca (giant panda)
Lineage: Eukaryota; Metazoa; Chordata; Mammalia; Carnivora; Ursidae
Source: Rfam